Molecule: ribosomal RNA, 480 nt
Filed under: uncultured bacterium
Lineage: Bacteria
Description: partial 16S ribosomal RNA
Rfam family: Bacterial small subunit ribosomal RNA
Source: RNAcentral
GAUGAACGCUGGCGGCGUGCUUAACACAUGCAAGUCGAACGGAACUACUCCAAUGCUAGUCUUCGGAAAGGCGUUGGUUUGGUUUAGUGGCGGACGGGGGAGUAACGCGUGGUUAACCUGCCCUAUACAGGGGGAUAACAGUUGGAAACGACUGUUAAUACCGCAUCAGCGCACAGGAGCGCAUGCUCCGGUGUGAAAAACUGCGGUGGUAUAGGAUGGACCCGCGUCUGGUUAGCUGGUUGGCGGGGUAACGGCGCACCAAGUCGACGAUAGGUAGACGGGCUGAGAGGCUGAACGGCCACAUUGGGGCUGAGCAACGGCCGAAAAUCCUGCGGGAGGAAGCAGUGGGGAAUAUUGCACAAUGGGGGAAACCAUGAUGCAGCGACGCCGCGUGAGCGAAGAAGUAUCUCGGGAUGGAAAGCUCGAUCAGCAGUGUAGAAAAUGACGGUACCUGAAGAAGAAGCCCCGGCUAACUACGUG